GGGUCAAGUAAAAGCUUGGACUUGUGUGCAACGCAUCCUUGGCUUUGGAUUUUAAGGACGCGAACGAGAAUUAACAGCGUUUCAAGGGAAUCUGUUGGAGAUGGUUUCAAGAUGUAGAACUCUUGUAAGUGAAGUAUCCCAAAUGAAUUUGGAACAUCCACAUUGAGACUGCUUCAUAUCCUGAAAUUGAAGAGUGCCACGGGAAGGCUGUAUCACUGUACCAUGAGCUGCUUGGGCUUUUAAAGUGUUGGAUGGAGUUUUAAUCAUAUGAGGUAA
This is a long non-coding RNA of Acinonyx jubatus (cheetah), 276 nucleotides long. RefSeq lists it as uncharacterized. The record is from RefSeq and is a predicted model, not a curated record. NCBI's taxonomy places the organism in Eukaryota, Metazoa, Chordata, Mammalia, Carnivora, Felidae. The transcript is spliced from 3 exons.